Molecule: long non-coding RNA, 1170 nt
Filed under: Marmota monax (woodchuck)
Lineage: Eukaryota; Metazoa; Chordata; Mammalia; Rodentia; Sciuridae
Source: RNAcentral
UUUCAAGGGGAGGUGUGUAUGUGUGUGUGUGUGUGUGUGUGUGUGUGUGUGUGUGAGAUAAAUUUCACUGACCUCACAUCUGUGGUUGCUCAUGCACAUUACUAAGUGUGAAUGCUGACUCUACCCAGUGCAAGUCACUGUCUUCUGUUGGUAUUACUCUGUGGGCAUAAAAUAACCACUGCCUUUGUCAGAAUGUCACUCCUUUAAUAAGUGGUCUUUGCAAAAAGCACUUUACUCCCAGGACAGACACUAGAAUUUUGCAGAGACGCUUUACUGGUGUCCUAUAAUUCCAGCAGGACAGCCAUUUUGGGGAGUCAUAUUUCAGUUCCUCUGAAUUCUCAUUGCCGAAUCACACUUACAAAAGCAAGCCCUUAAAAGGUUUGACUUUUAAAACCCCACCCCCCCAAAAAAAUAUUGGUAAGGCAGGAGCCAUGGUUCAAUGAUGGAUUCUCUUGCUCACAGAAAAUGCACCUGUCUUCCUCAAGGUCUAGUGGGUGUGUCCUCACUGACCUUCGUUGGGGAGCUGGACUGGGAGAUGGCUGCUGGAAAUGCAGUGAGAGGACAGAUAAUAUGUCCCCAAAUGUUUACACUGGACAGUGAGCAGCAGCCACCUCCUUUACUUCGAUUCAUUGUGCUUUUCCUCUCUUCCCCUCACUAUUUUGGUGAAACUUGUUUGGUGAUGAAAACAGGAUUUCUCUUACUGUGGAAGUUGGUAGUAGAAAUGUAUCAGGGCAGGAUUGAUCUGUGUGAUCUGAGGACAGGGGUACCUACAGGACCGGUGUUCUCUCUGCUACCUCUGUUUCCAUCUGCAUGACUUCUCCAGCCUCCAUUCUUUACCAAGCAGUUUCCUGUCUGCUUAGGGUUUCUGCUUUUCUGUCAUUGAGGCUUAUAUGUAGCUCUUUUCAGCCAUAUGAACUUGACUUACUGUCGGGCUUCACCUCUGACUGCAUAUUGGUGAAAUUCUCUGCACGUAUUUUAGUUCAAAUUAUAAAGAGAAUUCAAAUUCAUGGGGACACUGGGAGAUUUUUGGCCAGCCUUGGGUGCUUCCAGAUCAUAUGACCUGGGGUCACAUGACUUUCACGUACCCAAUUAGCUGUGGUGUGGGUGUCUCAGACUAUAAACCACAGCUCUAGGCAGCAAAGGGCUGGGGCCUGGGUGCAUUUCCUGUGA